GACGAACGCUGGCGGCGCGCCUAACACAUGCAAGUCGAACGAGAGAUGAGGAGCUUGCUCUUCAGAUCGAGUGGCGAACGGGUGAGUAACGCGUGAGGAACCUGCCUCAAAGAGAGGGACAACAGUUGGAAACGACUGCUAAUACCGCAUAAGCCCACGGCUCGGCAUCGAGCAGAGGGAAAAGGAGUGAUCCGCUUUGAGAUGGCCUCGCGUCCGAUUAGCUAGUUGGUGAGGUAACGGCCCACCAAGGCGACGAUCGGUAGCCGGACUGAGAGGUUGAACGGCCACAUUGGGACUGAGACACGGCCCAGACUCCUACGGGAGGCAGCAGUGGGGAAUAUUGCACAAUGGGGGAAACCCUGAUGCAGCGACGCCGCGUGGAGGAAGAAGGUCUUCGGAUUGUAAACUCCUGUUGUUGAGGAAGAUAAUGACGGUACUCAA
This 441-nucleotide ribosomal RNA is filed under the name uncultured bacterium. RNAcentral's name for it is "bacterial SSU rRNA". It matches the Rfam family "Bacterial small subunit ribosomal RNA", at positions 28 to 482 of the family's 1533-position model. The record is from RNAcentral.